CGGAAUGUAGCGCAGCUGGUAGCGUAUCCGCUUUGGGAGCGGGAGGUCGCAGGUUCGAAUCCUGUCAUUCCGA
Molecule: transfer RNA, 73 nt
Filed under: Gloeotilopsis planctonica
Lineage: Eukaryota; Viridiplantae; Chlorophyta; Ulvophyceae; Ulotrichales; Ulotrichaceae
Also listed under: 1 other name
Description: tRNA-Pro
Rfam family: tRNA
About the family: Transfer RNA (tRNA) molecules are approximately 80 nucleotides in length. Their secondary structure includes four short double-helical elements and three loops (D, anti-codon, and T loops).
Source: RNAcentral